GACAGAGGGUGCAAACGUUGCUCGGAAUCACUGGGCGUAAAGGGCGUGUAGGCGGCGUUUUAAGUCGGGGUGAAAGCCUGUGGCUCAACCACAGAAUGGCCUUCGAUACUGGGACGCUUGAGUAUGGUAGAGGUUGGUGGAACUGCGAGUGUAGAGGUGAAAUUCGUAGAUAUUCGCAAGAACACCGGUGGCGAAGGCGGCCAACUGGACCAUUACUGACGCUGAGGCGCGAAAGCGUGGGGAGCAAACAGG
RNAcentral lists this ribosomal RNA (252 nucleotides) under uncultured bacterium. RNAcentral describes it as "partial 16S ribosomal RNA". It matches the Rfam family "Bacterial small subunit ribosomal RNA", at positions 524 to 776 of the family's 1533-position model. The record is from RNAcentral.